AGGGGAGGAGCGGCUAAAAAGGUAAAAACCAGAAGACUUCAGGCCUUUUCUUUCCUCCCCAUCUCGUUUUUGUUCUUACGGUAAAUAUAUGAGACAGAGAUGUGUAAGAAAAUGCAAGAAGCCACCCGUGUGUUCUUGGGCCAGAAAUGGCCCCAGCUCUAGGAAAAAGCAGUGAGCAGAGAUCUGAAUGAAUGAAGGUUUUCUUAAAGUCACAUCCUGCACUCCCACACCCUUGAAAAGGAGGAAUCUCUGCAGCCAUGUUGGUAUCAUGUGACCGCCACACUUUCAGGUCACAGCUGAUUGGACGUAGGGUGUGUACACGUGACCCAGGGAGAGCCAAUCAGAAGCUGAGCUAAGUCAGGCCCCCCCCUCUCAGGAAUCUGGUCCUGGGAUCAAGAGGUCAGUUGGGCAAUGUGGUCUCAGGGAUUAGGUGACCAUUUUGAGGUCGUCAGGAUGGGCCAUAGGCGAGUGAAGUGGAGGAAGCUGCUCUUCCAAGAGAGAAUGAAGAUAACUGCUCAAAGAGGCAGCCGUGGAAAACAGACCUUAGAGACAGCUGCCUCCUGGUGACUCGUGGGCCCGAGGUCCGUAGGAAGCCCACUGUCCUUCUGCCCUUCGGUUCCGUUAGAGAUGCUGUGUCCUCCCAAUACAUCCGCCUUGUUGGCUUCAAUCCUGAAUUUAACUGAAAUCCCGGAAGAUGGGGACUGCCUUUACAGUGCUGGGCCCCCAGGUGGUACUCCACACCCCUCCUGCCCUUGAUUCUGGUUUCUGCUUUCCUGGGACCGCUUACAGCUCUGGCGAAGGGGAGCCACCAGCAGGUAACUGAGGCAAAAGACCGCACUGAACAUGACUGUGACUGCAGGGUAGAGCGUUGCCUGGUGUGUGUGGCUGAGUCAGCUGGAUCCAUCCAUUCCACAAAUGCUACUGAGCUCCCAUUAUAUGCCAGGCACUGGUUUAGGCUCUGUGCUGCAGCAGUGAAGCUAAACCCUGCUCUCCAUGGGAAGGGUUCUUGCUCAGGCUCUGUUUCCCAAAGCAGGUCCUGUGACCUUGGGUGACAGUUGAGUCAGCUGGAUCCAUCCAUUCCACAAAUGCUACUGAGCUCCCAUUAUAUGCCAGGCACUGGUUUAGGCUCUGUGCUGCAGCAAUGAAGCUAAACCCUGCUCUCCAUGGAAGGGUUCUUGCUCGGGCUCUGUUUCCCAAAACAGGUCCUGUGACCUCGGGUGACAGUCGCCCUCGGGUGACAGUUGCCCUCGGGUGAUCAUUCUGGACUGAGUACCUGAACUGGGUGUGAUGCAUUUGAAAGCCGCAGGGUAGCCAUGUGCACAGAGAGGGAUGGUCUGCCAGAGGAGAUGAAUGAAGCACAAGGUCACAGAGGAAACAGCCCUGCACAGAAAGACAUAGAUUAGCUGCUUUGUGGUUCCUGGCCCUGGACCCUGGCCACACACCGUGCCCUUUGGGUCUGUGCAGUGCCCCUGUAUGCUUUCAGUAAAUCCUCUCUUUGCUUAAGCAAGUUGGAGUGGGUUUCUGUUACUCGAUGCCACAUGUCCUGAGACGACUCAGUUCUGGAUGGAUAAGCAUGAGAUGGUAAAGCCAAAAUAAAUCUGCAAGGGAGCUGCGAUACUGAAAAUGGGACGCAGCUGUGUCACUGGAAAUGGACGGAUAGAUUGAACCACGGGCUCUAAAGGGCAGCACACGAAAAGCCCUGCUGAGGAUUAAUGGGCUCAUUUCUUGCCUUAAAGGGCCUGACAAGGACCAUUUAGCUCCCAGGAUGAGUCGUGCUGAGAGUUCCAGUGUGGAGCGAGGGAAGGCCAGCCCCGACUCUGUCUGCAGGUGUAGAAUGUGAGAGAAGCGCUUUCCACCUAAGUCCCAGUCUCUCCACCAGCAAGAUGGAGGUCGCGAGUUUUGCAGCAGGUGCCUGAGACAACACAGGUAAAGUGCUCACGCAGUCCCUGGCAUGGAGACAGCGAGAGGCACGUGGCGGCUGUGACUGACGCACAGUCUGAGGGAGAGCAGGCCGGAGAUCCAGGCGCUUUUCCAGGCCUGCGCCUCACACCCAUUUCUAAAAGCGUGUUCUAAGAAAAUUCACCAGGCGCCACAAGUUUGGGAGGAAUCUUCGAGGAAAGCCGGCUUCAGGAAACAUGGGGAAAGAAGAACAAGUUAAUUGAAACCACGAAGAAGCAAUCGGCCCAAUCCAGGAUGUGCAUAUUUUAUCGGACAAAGCACCCAGUUUCUACAACAAAUCAGCGGUGAGGCAAUCGAGUCUCAGACAAAGUAAAACAAACCCAGCCCACCCCAGGCGGGACCAGCACACUUGGCAGUUUGCCAACAGAAUGUACAGACUGAUGCCCUGGCAAAGCACAGGGAACUCUGGGAAACUGCCUUUGAAGACUGAUUUGCAAGAAAAGUGAAUGCCCCGAACCAGCAAUAAAGAGCCCAGGGUUGGUGGUUGUUUAUUCCAAGGAGAGGAAACAUCAAGUGCAAAGGCCCUGCGGCAGAAACACGCCUGGGAAGCUGAGCCCA
Non-coding RNA from Microcebus murinus (gray mouse lemur), 2517 nucleotides. The record is from RefSeq and is a predicted model, not a curated record. NCBI's taxonomy places the organism in Eukaryota, Metazoa, Chordata, Mammalia, Primates, Cheirogaleidae.